Molecule: ribosomal RNA, 451 nt
Filed under: uncultured bacterium
Lineage: Bacteria
Description: bacterial SSU rRNA
Rfam family: Bacterial small subunit ribosomal RNA
Source: RNAcentral
GUGGGGAAUCUUGGACAAUGGGGGAAACCCUGAUCCAGCGACGCCGCGUGGGUGAUGAAGGCCUUCGGGUCGUAAAGCCCUGUCGGGGGGGAAGAACCUCCCGCCGGUAAACAACCGGCGGGACUGACGGUACCCCCUAAGGAAGCACCGGCUAACUCCGUGCCAGCAGCCGCGGUAAGACGGAGGGUGCAAGCGUUGUUCGGAAUUACUGGGCGUAAAGGGCGCGUAGGCGGUCUGCUAAGUUCGGCGUGAAAGCCCCCGGCUCACCCGGGGAACGGCGCCGGAAACUGGUAGACUCGAGUACCGGAGAGGAGGGUGGAAUUCCUGGUGUAGCGGUGAAAUGCGUAGAUAUCAGGAGGAACACCGGUGGCGAAGGCGGCCCUCUGGACGGAUACUGACGCUGAGGCGCGAAAGCGUGGGGAUCAAACAGGAUUAGAAACCCUAGUAGUCC